This is a non-coding RNA of Acanthosepion pharaonis, 107 nucleotides long. The record is from the annotation of a GenBank genome assembly. NCBI's taxonomy places the organism in Eukaryota, Metazoa, Mollusca, Cephalopoda, Sepiida, Sepiidae.
CGCAUCACAUUGAAACACCGGUUCUCGUACGAUCACCGAAGUUAAGCCAAUUCGUGCUUGGCCAUUACCUAGAUGGGUGACCGCUUGAAAAUACCAGGUGCUGUAAG